RNAcentral lists this ribosomal RNA (288 nucleotides) under uncultured bacterium. RNAcentral's name for it is "partial 16S ribosomal RNA". It matches the Rfam family "Bacterial small subunit ribosomal RNA", at positions 30 to 314 of the family's 1533-position model. The record is from RNAcentral.
AUUGAACGCUGGCGGCAUGCCUUACACAUGCAAGUCGAACGGCAGCACGGGAGCAAUUCCUGGUGGCGAGUGGCGAACGGGUGAGUAAUAUAUCGGAACGUGCCCAGUCGUGGGGGAUAACGUAGCGAAAGCUACGCUAAUACCGCAUACGAUCUAUGGGAUGAAAGCGGGGGAUCGCAAGACCUCGCGCGAUUGGAGCGGCCGAUAUCAGAUUAGGUAGUUAGGUGAGGUAAAGGCGUCACCAAGCCGACGAUCUGUAGCUGGUCUGAGAGGACGACCAGCCACACU